GUGUGCUUCAUGAUCAUGUAUAUUUUAUGAAGAUUUAUUAGACCAAAACUUAUAAAAUUUAUCUUAAAGUAAUUACUUUUGUAAUAACUGUACAUUUUAGCAUUAUUUUUAUCUGUUGGAAUAUUUUCAUAGCUAGUAAAAUUCACCAUAAUCAUUAAUUAGAGCUGUAAUAGUUAGUAAAAUUCACCAUAAUCAUUAAUUAGAGCUGUAAUUUACACUUUUAUAUUAAAUUUACAUUUACACUUUAACUGAUUGAUAGAACAUCAACCUAAAUACCCAAAAGGAAAUUUUUAAUCAAGUGACUUCUAGGAGGGUGCCUGUUCUGACGGUGGCUAUUCAGAAACAAAGAGCAAAUCUCAAGAAGAGACCUGGUUCCCACGCUGGCCACACCUGUUGCCACACUGAUGGGAUGUGCUGAUCACAGCCCAGGACGGCUCAUGGAGGAGAGAGGGACCCUCCCCAGGUCGAAGGUCCAAGGUUUGGAUGAUGGGGUGCGGCCCAGGAUGGGUGCCAGGGAUCUGGAGGACAUGAGUGGAUGAAGGCCCCCGGCUUCAGCUUCCUCUUGGUGGAAUGUGGGUGAUGAGGUCCGACCAUGCAGCGCUGCUGUGAGGAUCGGAUGAGAGGAUCCCUGGGAGGUGGUCGGUGACUUGGUACCGUCACCUCAGUGACUGUUCUUCAUCCUCAUGGAUGUUCAAAGAAGACUCCUUCAUUCCCUUCAGGAGACGGGACCGAUACAACCUCUGAAAAGUUCAUCACCUUAGCCGAACUUUAUAGCACUUUCUUCCUUUUCCAAUUUAUUUGAUGCUAUUUAAAUCAGACCUAGUGAUUCUGGGAAGCCCGGGAUUCCUGUCCUUUACAGGAGACGCCAGGUGUCUUCUGUGCGCAUGCGCGACAUUUGGGAGGAAACCCAGAGCCUCGACUCUGAGCUUGCUGGACUCAGGUCCAAGGAGGGAUUCACCACGUUGGUGUAAGGUGUGGUCUGUGUUUCAGAUUCAUGUACCAGAUGAGGUGAUGCUUUGAUGUCAGUACCUCCUGUUGGGGGAAGGUAGGGGAUCUGGACCAGUGGUCUAGAGGGUCCGUAUGGGGCAGGACCCAGACACCUGAGGAUACCGGGUUUAAGAGGGGCGGGACUGAACGAGGCCUCUCCGCGCACACGCGGUGCCUUGGGCACCUACAUCGUGCUGUGCGGCUUCCGUGGGGGCGUCCAGGGCGGGGUCUGAGCUGGGAGACCCGCCUCUGUCCUGUUCUCCUGCAGUCACUUAAAACUUUUUAGUUUUCCACUGAAAUAUCCAGAUGAGAUCGUUUCAUGGGUGGGGAGAAUGGAGGCAGGGAGAGUCACAUGUGGACAGGGUGAAGGUUUAGGACGCUCACUGUGGAGGAUGAAGAAGCAGCCGCCCUGUAGGUGGUGUGGGUCUGUCGCUCUCUAGGCGUCGGCACAGCCCUUACGCACUGCAGAAUCCUAGCAUGGGGAGGCAGAGCUCACCCAGCAGUGGGUGUGCGCCCACUGAUAAGCCCUGAGCUAGGGUUAGGCCUGUGAGACAGGGCAUUUGCCCUGUGAUGUCAGAUUGCUGCCAUCCUUAUGUGCUGGGUCCAGAGUUCCGGCAGGUGCAGACACCUGGCCACUGGGCCCGUCUGGGGCCACUGAGGCGAUGCUGCGGCCUGUGGGGCCAUGAUGGAACCCUUCCAGUCAGAAUCUGCCCGGGAAGCCAUGGGGCAGUCUGGGAGCCUGGGGUUGGCCCCGGGUGACUGAGGCCCGUGGACGCAGGUCUGGGCGCUGUGCAGACCCCCUGGCCCUGGGAAACAGGACCCAGAAAGGUGGUAGCUUCUUUGAUUUCAAGGAAUCCAGGUUGAUGGAGACCCUAGGGCUGAGCCCUCCCUAAGGAAGUUGCUUCUGGGUCGGGUAAACAGCAGCGUGGCCCGCUCCCUGCGAUCUAUUCCGCAUCAGCACUGGGCACGAGGGUUUGUCCCUGGCAUAGGGCCUGAAGAAUGUGCUUCAGGUGCCUUGGCCGGCCUUUGCUUCCUCCUUCCAACCCCGGGGGCUCCUCCAUGGCCCACACCCUCCGCAUCCUGCCCCACCCACUCCUGCUCAGGCUCCAGCUUUGGCCCAAAGUCAGACUAAGUGUGGCAUCUCUGGGCCCUGGACCUGCCCAGUGGGUUUUCCACGAUCCCAGGGGACGCAUGCCUGGGACAGGUGUGUGGCAGGUCAGGUUUCUGUUAGCGACCAGAAGAGUCAGUCUCCACUAAACUUUAAUUUGAUGAAUGCACACAUUAAACAUUAUAGGACUGCAAAAACUAGUGCCUGGGGACUAGGGCGGGAAUGAGAAAACAAGCCCAUUAAACCCCCAGCUGGGUUUGCUCAGAUCCUGAAGUCUGAUCAAAUAAUAAUAGCAUUCUUACACAUAUUCCUCAUACUAGGGUCCACUUAAGAUUAAGAAACUGUCCAAGACUCUGGAGAAAGCUUUCCAGACCCUAGUCACGACUUAAAGUUUAGAUAUUGAUAGAAUGAAAAAUACGCUGUCUUGCAGGUGCACUCCGCACACAGGUGUGGAGCUUAGAAUGUAUAUAAGCACUAGAAAAAGAAGCUUGUAACUUUGAGUUGGUCCGGUAAGCUACUCCGACCUUCUCCCCGUAACUGGUUGCAGAAAGAACCUCCGUUCUUUUCCAGUCUGUCUGCAUCUCCUUAAUGGACAUCGAGAAUAAACAGCCGGAUCCUGUUCUGUCCCAGAACUGGUGUGGGACAGGGAGUGCCUCUCCGAAGCCCUCCCUCGAUCCCCACCUCCUCCCCACCCAACCUGGGCUGCUCCCGAUCCUGGGACUGGGUUCAGGGAGCCAUGGGGUGGUGGAGGCUGGUGUAGUAGGGUGACCCCUGUCCCAGGGGUGGCCAGGGCCCUAGUCACCAAGGACGAAUAACAAAAUAAUAAAUUUAAAAAAUAAA
Long non-coding RNA from Piliocolobus tephrosceles (Ugandan red Colobus), 2935 nucleotides. RefSeq lists it as uncharacterized. NCBI's taxonomy places the organism in Eukaryota, Metazoa, Chordata, Mammalia, Primates, Cercopithecidae. The transcript is spliced from 2 exons. The record is from RefSeq and is a predicted model, not a curated record.